This 406-nucleotide ribosomal RNA is filed under the name uncultured bacterium. RNAcentral describes it as "partial 16S ribosomal RNA". It matches the Rfam family "Bacterial small subunit ribosomal RNA", at positions 29 to 526 of the family's 1533-position model. The record is from RNAcentral.
AUUGAACGCUGGCGGCAGGCCUAACACAUGCAAGUCGAACGAGUGGCGGACGGGUGUGUAAUGUCUGGGACCCUGCCUGAUGGCGGGGGAUACCUACUGGAAACGGUAGCUAAUACCGCAUACCAUCCGAUGUUCCCUGGUGGGAUUCGGCAGUGGGUGGGGUAAAGGCUCACUAAGGCGACGAGCCCUAGCUGGACUGAGAGGGUGACCGGCGAAACUGGAACUGAGACACGGUCCAGACGCCUACGGGAGGCAGCAGUGGGGAAUAUUGCACAAUGGGCGAAAGCCUGAUGGAGCCAUGCCGCGUGUGUGAAGAAGGCCUUCGGGUUGUAAAGUACUUUCAGCGGGGAGGCGGUACCCGAAGAGGAAGCACCGGCUAACUACGUGCCAGCAGCCGCGGUAAUAC